Molecule: long non-coding RNA, 1318 nt
Filed under: Lepisosteus oculatus (spotted gar)
Lineage: Eukaryota; Metazoa; Chordata; Actinopteri; Semionotiformes; Lepisosteidae
Description: lncRNA (ENSLOCG00000023128.1)
Source: RNAcentral
GAAAUGUGAAUUUUGUUUCUGCUAAAACAUAAUUCUUGUUCUGUAACUUUCUUUCUUUCAAUCUGUUGCAGGAUAAUAGGAUUUUUGCUACUGUUUUUGAACAAUGGAUGUAGAAGGGGAGAACAAACCCACACCAGUAGAGAGCCUUGAGUCAAAGAAUGAAGAAGUAGAUGUUAGUGGUGCUGCAGGAGAGAGCGAAGCCCAGGGUCAACAGGAAGUUGAGGCGACGUUGACCCUGGUGACCUGGAACAUCGAUGGACUGGACCCUGAAGACUGCAUAGAUCGUGUCAGAGGACUGGCGGUCUACUUGAACAAGUAAGUAUAAAGUGUGCAGCAGUAACCCCUUUAUUCACUGUUCUGUGUUCAUAGCAAUGCUGGGCGUGAAAUUCAGAUAUAUACAGUACAUUUAACAUAUGCGGAGCGAAUUUACAAUUGUAUGGGGUAAUACAUCUACACUUUCAGACCAUAUACUCUGUUUCAGGCCUGGAGUCACAUUCAGAGUUGUCACCUCACUUGACACAUACUGUAGAUUCUUUGAGGCAGGAUCAGCUUGUCCCACAUCUGAAAGUUAAAAAUGUAUAGUCCAAAUUCGAACUAGAACAUAAACUGUAUUGACAGAAGAAAACAUGAAGUUACAUUUUAGGAAUAGCACUUUAUUAUAUCUUUACCAUCUUUUUAUGUUUAUUGUACAGAUAAUUCAAAGUCAAAUUCACAGCACCAAAAGGCUGCUUUGUAUGAUAUGAUUUUAUCAUAUGUGUAACUGCAAAAAGAUCAUGAUAAUGAAAAUGAAAAAUAUAUGGAGUGCAUUUUAUUUUUUAAUUAUCAUUUAAUUUUACUUCAAGUAGUAAAGCAACAGCAUCUUUUGAGCAAACAUUUAAUGAUUCACUUGAAGUUUCAUUUCUUUCAGUUUAUCACAUUUCUGAAACUUCUCUGAUAUCAACGUUUCCUGGAAUUUUAGGUGGAAUUUUAACUCUAUUCAGGUCUGACGUGUUACUCUUUCUUGAAGUCUCAUUUUAGUACCUUCAGGACAGUAAUAAACAUACCUCGCACAGUGUGAAUCAACUUCACCCAUGUUUGCAUUGUUUGUGCUAAAAACCCAUAGCUCCUUGUUUAAAGAAGUGCCUCCCAUUUCUGUCCUCCAAUUCUUAAUUGUCACCUUAAACAUUGAUACACUUGGAGUCGUUUUUUCAUUUUGAGCUUAAAGGCAUCCUUUGUAUUAAGUUUCUAAGUGUCUGUCUGAACCAAAUCCCCUCACAAUCUCUUGUGUUUCAAGAGUCAAGAUUAAUUUCCUCUAACCCAGUGUGUGUAUGACUUCCCU